RNAcentral lists this ribosomal RNA (842 nucleotides) under uncultured Bacteroidota bacterium. RNAcentral describes it as "bacterial SSU rRNA". It matches the Rfam family "Bacterial small subunit ribosomal RNA", at positions 51 to 888 of the family's 1533-position model. The record is from RNAcentral. Lineage: Bacteria; Pseudomonadati; Bacteroidota.
ACACAUGCAAGUCGAGGGGCAGCACAAGGUAGCUUGCUAUCUGGGUGGCGACCGGCGCACGGGUGCGUAACGCGUAUGCAACUUGCCCUAUACAGGAGGAUAACCCGUCGAAAGACGGACUAAUACUGCGUAUGCUCACAGCUUGGCAUCAAGUGGUGAGGAAAGAAAUUCGGUAUAGGAUAGGCAUGCGUCCCAUUAGCUUGUUGGUGAGGUAACGGCUCACCAAGGCGACGAUGGGUAGGGGAACUGAGAGGUUUAUCCCCCACACUGGUACUGAGACACGGACCAGACUCCUACGGGAGGCAGCAGUGAGGAAUAUUGGUCAAUGGGCGAGAGCCUGAACCAGCCAAGUCGCGUGAAGGAUGACUGUCUUAUGGAUUGUAAACUUCUUUUAUACGGGAAUAACAAGAGUCACGUGUGACUCCCUGCAUGUACCGUAUGAAUAAGCAUCGGCUAACUCCGUGCCAGCAGCCGCGGUAAUACGGAGGAUGCGAGCGUUAUCCGGAUUUAUUGGGUUUAAAGGGUGCGUAGGCGGUUUGUUAAGUCAGCGGUGAAAUCUAGAGGCUCAACCUCGAAACUGCCGUUGAAACUGGCGAACUUGAGUGUAGAUGAGGUAGGCGGAAUUCGUGGUGUAGCGGUGAAAUGCAUAGAUAUCACGAGGAACUCCGAUUGCGAAGGCAGCUUACUAAGGUACAACUGACGCUGAAGCACGAAAGCGUGGGUAUCAAACAGGAUUAGAUACCCUGGUAGUCCACGCAGUAAACGAUGAUAACUGGGCGUAUGCGAUAUACAGUAUGCUCCUAAGCGAAAGCGUUAAGUUAUCCACCUGGGGAGUACGCCGG